Long non-coding RNA from Melitaea cinxia (Glanville fritillary), 380 nucleotides. RefSeq lists it as uncharacterized. The record is from RefSeq and is a predicted model, not a curated record. Lineage: Eukaryota; Metazoa; Arthropoda; Insecta; Lepidoptera; Nymphalidae. The transcript is spliced from 3 exons.
UGGAUAUCAGUAAACCGGCUCUUAUCAGAACCAAAUGCCAUAGACUGAUCUUGCAAGUCACAUUCACCACCCUGGUCACAGAUAGGGCAGUCCAAAGGAUGAUUAACAAGCAUAGCGCAAGCUGCAACAGGCUUGGGUGACUUCUCUACUUCUACCAAGCACAUCCUACAGUUGCCAGCCACUGCUAAUCUUUCAUGGCUGGGCUUGAACUUGGUCGGCAAAUUUGCGAGCCGCUAGCGGUGCGACUCGGCUGGGAGAUAGCGCAAGCGCCCGGGACAGCGGCUGGCGUAGCAUUUUCUGCAGCAACCAAAAACUAACAAUUAAACAAUAUCACUUUGUAUGUAUCUUAUACUAGAGAUUUUAACAAAAAUUAAACAACU